RNAcentral lists this ribosomal RNA (204 nucleotides) under Triticum aestivum (bread wheat). RNAcentral describes it as "partial small subunit ribosomal RNA". Lineage: Eukaryota; Viridiplantae; Streptophyta; Magnoliopsida; Poales; Poaceae. The record is from RNAcentral.
AUGGCAGCAUCCCAGAGGCCAACAGAAAGGGUGGUGUCGGUGUGCACCCCAACGACGGCGGAGACCACGCUCGUGUUCGAGAUCGCCAGGUACAGCCUGCACAAGGGCAUCGGCGCCGGCAAAUUCAUCCAGUCCAACCCCGUCUCCGUUGGCGGCUACGAAUGGUGCAUACGCUACUACCCCGACGGGGACGCGAGCAAGUAG